GACGAACGCUGGCGGCGUGCUUAACACAUGAAAGUCGAACGGAAAGGCCCUGCUUUUGUGGGGUGCUCGAGUGGCGAACGGGUGAGUAACACGUGAGUAACCUGCCCUUGCCUUUGGGAUAACUUCAGGAAACUGGGGCUAAUACCGGAUAGGAGCCCCUGCUGCAUGGUGGGGGUUGGAAAGUUUCGGCGGUUGGGGAUGGACUCGCGGCUUAUCCGCUUGUUGGUGGGGUAGUGGCUUACCAAGGCUUUGACGGGUAGCUGGCCUGAGAGGGUGACCGGCCACAUUGGGACUGAGAUACGGCCCAGACUCCUACGGGAGGCAGCAGUGGGGAAUAUUGCACAAUGGGCGGAAGCCUGAUGCAGCAACGCCGCGUGCGGGAUGACGGCCUUCGGGUUGUAAACCGCUUUCGCCUGUGACGAAGCGUGAGUGACGGUAAUGGGUAAAGAAGCACCGGCUAACUACGUG
Molecule: ribosomal RNA, 468 nt
Filed under: uncultured bacterium
Lineage: Bacteria
Description: partial 16S ribosomal RNA
Rfam family: Bacterial small subunit ribosomal RNA
Source: RNAcentral